RNAcentral lists this ribosomal RNA (468 nucleotides) under uncultured bacterium. RNAcentral's name for it is "partial 16S ribosomal RNA". It matches the Rfam family "Bacterial small subunit ribosomal RNA", at positions 28 to 507 of the family's 1533-position model. The record is from RNAcentral.
GACGAACGCUGGCGGCGUGCUUAACACAUGCAAGUCGAACGGAAAGGCCCUGCUUUUGUGGGGUGCUCGAGUGGCGAACGGGUGAGUAACACGUGAGUAACCUGCCCUUGACUUUGGGAUAACUUCAGGAAACUGGGGCUAAUACCGGAUAGGAGCUCCUGCUGCAUGGUGGGGGUUGGAAAGUUUCGGCGGUUGGGGAUGGACUCGCGGCUUAUCAGCUUGUUGGUGGGGUAGUGGCUUACCAAGGCUUUGACGGGUAGCCGGCCUGGGAGGGUGGCCGGCCACAUUGGGCCUGAGGUACGGCCCAGUCUCCUACGGGCGGCAGCAGUGGGGAAUAUUGCACAAUGGGCGGAAGCCUGAUGCAGCAGCGCCGCGUGCGGGAUGACGGCCUUCGGGUUGUAAACCGCUUUCGCCUGUGACGAAGCGUGAGUGACGGUAAUGGGUAAAGAAGCACCGGCUAACUACGUG